CAUUCAUUUCUGGAAAAAAAAUGUAAUUAUUUAUUUGAGAACUUCUUGCCCUCUUGUUUUCUCUGCUCAGUUUUCCUGGUAUUUCUAUUAUUCAGAUAAUGAAUCUCCUAUGAGUAUAGCCUGUAAUAUAGCCUGUAAUCUUUCUUUUCCACUGUUCAUGUCUUUGUCUUUUUAUUGUACCUUUUAAAGAUUUCCAAUUAGUCUUCUAUCUGCAUUCUUGAGGGGUUUUUUUAAUUUCAUCAUAUUCUUUUUUCUUGAGUUUUCCUUUUUUAUUUUCUCCCAUUCUUGUUUCAUCUAUUAUCUUUUAUUCUCUCUGAUUAUUUCAGUUUCUUUAAAGUUUUCUUGUGCUCCCUUCAUUGCCUUAUUUCUUUUUUUCCCAUUUGUAUUUUGGGUUUCUCAUAUUAGAGGUAUUUCUCAAAUAUCUGGCAAUCCUUUGGUAUACGUUCAUAUUUACAAAGAAAUUUGAAUCUCUGUGUGGCUGAGAUGAGCUUUUGACUGAUGGAUUUUAUUAUUUGCUGUUGUAGCUGGGGCAUUUCAUACGAGGAAUCUUGACUAUCAGUAUGUAUAGGUCUUUUCUCUUUGGCUGGCCAGAUUUCGCCUGCCUGGCAGUUUAAAGGUUGGCUGCUAUUUUGUUCAAAGUUGAGUGUGAGAAAGAAAUCUUGAAGCCCCUUUCUUCAGUAUGUUACCCCAAACUUCAAUCCUCUCUUCUCCUUGUGCAUAUAACACCUCUCUGGUGGCCAGGCACGAUCGCUCACACCUGUAAUCCCAGUACUUUGGGAUGCUGAGGCGGGUGGAUCACGAGUCAGGAGUUCAAGACCAGCCUGACCGAGAUGGUGAAACCCCAUCUCUACUGAAAAUACAAAAAUUAGCC
RNAcentral lists this long non-coding RNA (871 nucleotides) under Homo sapiens (human). RNAcentral describes it as "non-protein coding lnc-MICU3-3:1". The record is from RNAcentral. Lineage: Eukaryota; Metazoa; Chordata; Mammalia; Primates; Hominidae.